RNAcentral lists this transfer RNA (90 nucleotides) under Gammaproteobacteria bacterium. Its description in RNAcentral is "tRNA-Ser". It matches the Rfam family "tRNA". Rfam says of the family: Transfer RNA (tRNA) molecules are approximately 80 nucleotides in length. Lineage: Bacteria; Pseudomonadati; Pseudomonadota; Gammaproteobacteria. The record is from RNAcentral.
GGAGGGGUGGCUGAGCGGUUGAAAGCACUGGUCUUGAAAACCAGCGAGGGUUUACGCCCUCCCAGGGUUCGAAUCCCUGCUCCUCCGCCA